CUGCCCUCAAGCACGGCUUGGGUGUUGGGUUCCGUCCCUUUGGAGGGGGACGGGCCUGAAAGGCAGUGGCGGUGUCAUGUCCGGUUCUCGAGCGUAUGGGGCUCUGUCACUCGCUCUGGAGAUCGUCUUGGUGCCUGCCCAUCCUCCAUCUUUCUCAAA
RNAcentral lists this unclassified non-coding RNA (159 nucleotides) under uncultured Trichocomaceae. Its description in RNAcentral is "sequence contains ITS2". The record is from RNAcentral. Lineage: Eukaryota; Fungi; Ascomycota; Eurotiomycetes; Eurotiales; Trichocomaceae.